UGGGGAAUCUUCCGCAAUGUACGAAAGUCUGACGGAGCAACGCCGCGUGAGUGAAGACGGCCUUUGGGUUGUAAAGCUCUGUGAUCCGGGACGAAAGAGCCUGAGGUGAAUAGCCUAAGGAAGUGACGGUACCGGAAAAGCAAGCCACGGCUAACUACGUGCCAGCAGCCGCGGUAAUACGUAGGUGGCAAGCGUUGUCCGGAAGUAUUGGGCGUAAAGCGCGCGCAGGCGGCUUCCUAAGUCCAUCUUAAAAGUGCGGGGCUUAACCCCGUGAUGUGAUAGAAACUGGGAAGCUGGAGUAUCGGAGAGGAAAGUGCAAUUCCUAGUGUAUCGGUGAAAUGCGUAGAGAUUAGGAAGAACACCGGUGGCGAAGGCGACUUUCUGGACGAAAACUGACGCUGAGGCGCGAAAGCGUGGGGAGCAAACAGG
RNAcentral lists this ribosomal RNA (429 nucleotides) under Fusobacteriota bacterium. RNAcentral's name for it is "Fusobacteria bacterium partial 16S ribosomal RNA". It matches the Rfam family "Bacterial small subunit ribosomal RNA", at positions 355 to 776 of the family's 1533-position model. Lineage: Bacteria; Fusobacteriati; Fusobacteriota. The record is from RNAcentral.